GACAGAAUUUGCUUCUGUUUAGGAAGCUGUGACAGCAUGGACAGUAGAGUGGAAUAUCUUUGAAGAGAGGCUGGCGCAAGGGGAGGACCCCACGUCUGGAAAUCACACUACUGGCUGUGUACUUCCAAUGCUGGACAAGAUCUGUAAACACCUUGCCCUCGGAGCGCUUCUGUGACUCUGGAUGAGAGAGAGAAGGGGCUUGUUCUGAAGAAAAGUCAACAGCACUGAGGCCAGAACAUGGGUGAUAGAAUGGAAUUGUGCCCUCCCUCAGAAGACAUGACGUGUUAACCUCCAGUACUAGUGAAGGAGAAGCCAGCAGCUUCUGCUGAUGUGAGCAGCCUUGAGGGAGGCCCACUUCAAGUCUACAGCCAACGGUCACGUGAGGCGACACUGAGCUCAUCACGCCCAGAUUCCUGACCCACAGGGGCUGUGGGGUACUAACUGUGGGGGGAUUCCUUCUUGCAGUAUAUGACCAUAGCCACCAAUCACCUGAGACACCACUCUUUUGUCGUUCAGCAGUCCUUCCACUGAGGCCCCUUUCCUUUGGAUUCCUGGUUAUCAUGUUACUCAGUCGUUGUUUAGUCUCCC
This 588-nucleotide long non-coding RNA is filed under the name Cricetulus griseus (Chinese hamster). Its description in RNAcentral is "lncRNA (ENSCGRG00015036144.1)". The record is from RNAcentral. Lineage: Eukaryota; Metazoa; Chordata; Mammalia; Rodentia; Cricetidae.